GCAAGUCGAACGAGAAAGCACCUUCGGGUGUGAGUAGAGUGGCGCACGGGUGCGUAACACGUAGGUGACCUACCUUUAAGUCGGGGACAACAUCGGGAAACUGAUGCUAAUACCGGAUGUGUUGAUUAAUUUUGAAAGUAAAUCAACAAAGGGGGCCUUUGGCUCCUGCUUGAAGAAGGGCCUGCGGAACAUUAGCUUGAUGGUGGGGUAAUGGCUUACCAUGGCUACGAUGUUUAGGGGGUCUGAGAGGACGAUC
This 256-nucleotide ribosomal RNA is filed under the name uncultured bacterium. RNAcentral describes it as "partial 16S ribosomal RNA". It matches the Rfam family "Bacterial small subunit ribosomal RNA", at positions 57 to 305 of the family's 1533-position model. The record is from RNAcentral.